This 465-nucleotide ribosomal RNA is filed under the name Vreelandella stevensii. RNAcentral's name for it is "partial 16S ribosomal RNA". It matches the Rfam family "Bacterial small subunit ribosomal RNA", at positions 338 to 795 of the family's 1533-position model. Lineage: Bacteria; Pseudomonadati; Pseudomonadota; Gammaproteobacteria; Oceanospirillales; Halomonadaceae. The record is from RNAcentral.
CCUACGGGGGGCUGCAGUGGGGAAUAUUGGACAAUGGGGGGAACCCUGAUCCAGCCAUGCCGCGUGUGUGAAGAAGGCCCUCGGGUUGUAAAGCACUUUCAGUGAGGAAGAACGCCUGGUGGUUAAUACCCAUCAGGAAAGACAUCACUCACAGAAGAAGCACCGGCUAACUCCGUGCCAGCAGCCGCGGUAAUACGGAGGGUGCGAGCGUUAAUCGGAAUUACUGGGCGUAAAGCGCGCGUAGGUGGCUUGAUAAGCCGGUUGUGAAAGCCCCGGGCUCAACCUGGGAACGGCAUCCGGAACUGUCAAGCUAGAGUGCAGGAGAGGAAGGUAGAAUUCCCGGUGUAGCGGUGAAAUGCGUAGAGAUCGGGAGGAAUACCAGUGGCGAAGGCGGCCUUCUGGACUGACACUGACACUGAGGUGCGAAAGCGUGGGUAGCAAACAGGAUUAGAUACCCGGGUAGUC